UUGCGCUGCUUUAGUUAUCCCACUGGCUGAUUACUAUAUCAUUGCUGGAGUGAUCUAUCAGGCACCAGACUCGGGAUCUGUUAUAAACUCUAGAGUGCUUACUGCAGUGCAUGGCAUUCAGUCAGCUUUCAAUGAAGCUAUGUCAUACUGUCGAUAUCAUCCUUCCAAAGGGUAUUGGUGGCACUUCAAAGAUCAUGAAGAGCAAGAUAAAGUCAAACCUAAAGCCAAAAGGAAAGAAGAACCAAGCUCUAUUUUCCAGAGACAACAUGUGGAUACUUUACUCCUAGACCUUAGACAAAAAUUUCCACCCAAAUUUGUGCAGGGAAUGAG
Non-coding RNA from Ceratotherium simum simum (southern white rhinoceros), 330 nucleotides. The record is from RefSeq and is a predicted model, not a curated record. Lineage: Eukaryota; Metazoa; Chordata; Mammalia; Perissodactyla; Rhinocerotidae.